AGAGUUUGAUCCUGGCUCAGAACGAACGCUGGCGGCAGGCCUAACACAUGCAAGUCGAGCGCCCCGCAAGGGGAGCGGCGGACGGGUGAGUAACGCGUGGGAACGUGCCUCUUGCUACGGAAUAGCCUCGGGAAACUGGGAGUAAUACCGUAUAAGCCCUACGGGGGAAAGAUUUAUCGGCAAGAGAUCGGCCCGCGUUGGAUUAGGUAGUUGGUGGGGUAAUGGCCUACCAAGCCGACGAUCCAUAGCUGGUUUGAGAGGAUGAUCAGCCACACUGGGACUGAGACACGGCCCAGACUCCUACGGGAGGCAGCAGUGGGGAAUCUUAGACAAUGGGCGCAAGCCUGAUCUAGCCAUGCCGCGUGAGCGAUGAAGGCCUUAGGGUUGUAAAGCUCUUUCGUGGGGGAAGAUAAUGACUGUACCCCAAGAAGAAGCCCCGGCUAACUCCGUGCCAGCAGCCGCGGUAAUACGGAGGGGGCUAGCGUUGUUCGGAAUUACUGGGCGUAAAGCGCACGUAGGCGGACUGGAAAGUCAGAGGUGAAAUCCCAGGGCUCAACCUUGGAACUGCCUUUGAAACUCCCAGUCUUGAGGUCGAGAGAGGUGAGUGGAAU
Molecule: ribosomal RNA, 611 nt
Filed under: uncultured bacterium
Lineage: Bacteria
Description: bacterial SSU rRNA
Rfam family: Bacterial small subunit ribosomal RNA
Source: RNAcentral